This 484-nucleotide ribosomal RNA is filed under the name uncultured bacterium. RNAcentral's name for it is "partial 16S ribosomal RNA". The stretch from base 66 to 484 matches the Rfam family "Bacterial small subunit ribosomal RNA", at positions 39 to 507 of the family's 1533-position model. The record is from RNAcentral.
GGGGGGGGGGGGGGGGGGGGGGGGGGGGGGGGGGGGGGGGGGGGGGAGGGGGGGGGGGGGGGGGGGCGGCGGGGGGGGGGGGGGGAAUGCGUGGGAAUGUGCGGGGUAGUGGGGGAUAACGUCCGGAAACGGGCGCGAAGACCGCAUACGGCCUGAGGGGGAAGGUGGGGGAUCUUCGGACCUCACGCGGUCAGAGGAGCCUAGGUCGGAUUAGCUAGUUGGUGGGGUAAAGGCCUACCAAGGCGACGAGCCGUAACUGGUCUGAGAGGAGGAUCAGUCACACUGGAACUGAGACACGGUCCAGACUCCUACGGGAGGCAGCAGUGGGGAAUAUUGGACAAUGGGCGAAAGCCUGAUCCAGCCAUGCCGCGUGUGUGAAGAAGGUCUUCGGAUUGUAAAGCACUUUAAGUUGGGAGGAAGGGCAGUAAGUUAAUACCUUGCUGUUUUGACGUUACCAACAGAAUAAGCACCGGCUAACUUCGUG